Long non-coding RNA from Lycium ferocissimum, 340 nucleotides. RefSeq lists it as uncharacterized. NCBI's taxonomy places the organism in Eukaryota, Viridiplantae, Streptophyta, Magnoliopsida, Solanales, Solanaceae. The transcript is spliced from 2 exons. The record is from RefSeq and is a predicted model, not a curated record.
UUGGAGACGCUUCGAAAGACAAGGCAACGUAUGGGUUCGUGGCACCUGUUCAGCUGCCAGAUUUGUUUCAGGUGAUUGAUCGAAGCAUAUGUGAAAAUACGCGGUGCCUGUCUGCAAGACCUCCUCCCAUUUCAUUUCGGGACAGAGAUUGAGUCUUAUAAUGUAGUUGUAAUCUGAAAUCAUUAAUCGCUCUUGUAUGAGUCGAGACCAGGUCAUGGGAAGUUGGAUCGAGUCUGUAUUUGUUACAUCGUUGUAAUUAUAUUAAAUCUUGAGUUUAUUUCAUGUUCUAUGAAGUUUCCGCUGAAUUUCUAAGUAUCUAUUGAUUUAAAUGAAUCGCCUU